Miniopterus natalensis is the source of this 677-nucleotide non-coding RNA. The record is from RefSeq and is a predicted model, not a curated record. Lineage: Eukaryota; Metazoa; Chordata; Mammalia; Chiroptera; Miniopteridae.
UUUAAAGCAUUCAGGUCCUUUUGGCCGGAACCGCCAUCUGCCAGUAAUUAGCCAAAAUGACCAACACAAAGGGAAAGAGGAGAGGCACCCGCUAUAUGUUCUCUAGACCUUUUAGAAAACAUGGAGUUGUUCCUUUGGCCACAUACAUGCGCAUCUACAAGAAAGGUGAUAUUGUAGGCAUCAAGGGAAUGGGCACUGUUCAAAAAGGAAUGCCCCACAAAUGUUACCAUGGCAAAACUGGAAGAGUCUACAAUGUCACCCAGCAUGCAGUGGGCAUUGUUGUGAACAAACAAGUCAAGGGCAAGAUUCUUGCCAAGAGAAUUAAUGUACGCAUCGAGCAUAUUAAGCACUCUAAGAGCCGAGAUAGCUUCCUGAAACGUGUGAAGGAAAAUGAUCAGAAAAAGAAGAAAGCCAAAGAGAAAGGUACCUGGGUUCAACUGAAGCGUCAGCCUGCUCCACCCAGAGAAGCACACUUUGUGAGAACCAAUGGAAAGGAGCCUGAGCUGCUGGAACCCAUUCCCUAUGAAUUCAUGGCAUGAUAAGUGUAAAAAAAAAAAAAAAAAAAGACCUCUAUACUGAUAAAAAUGUUUCUCUUAAUUGGGUAGAAGUGUGGUAUCCCUUCCCCCAAAAAAAUAAUUAAAGAAAACUUUGUGCCCUAAAAAAAAAAAAAAAAAAAA